RNAcentral lists this ribosomal RNA (2802 nucleotides) under Escherichia coli. Its description in RNAcentral is "partial 23S ribosomal RNA". It matches the Rfam family "Bacterial large subunit ribosomal RNA". Lineage: Bacteria; Pseudomonadati; Pseudomonadota; Gammaproteobacteria; Enterobacterales; Enterobacteriaceae. The record is from RNAcentral.
GGUUAAGCGACUAAGCGUACACGGUGGAUGCCCUGGCAGUCAGAGGCGAUGAAGGACGUGCUAAUCUGCGAUAAGCGUCGGUGAGGUGAUAUGAACCGUUAUAACCGGCGAUUUCCGAAUGGGGAAACCCAGUGUGUUUCGACACACUAUCAUUAACUGAAUCCAUAGGUUAAUGAGGCGAACCGGGGGAACUGAAACAUCUAAGUACCCCGAGGAAAAGAAAUCAACCGAGAUUCCCCCAGUAGCGGCGAGCGAACGGGGAGGAGCCCAGAGCCUGAAUCAGUGUGUGUGUUAGUGGAAGCGUCUGGAAAGGCGCGCGAUACAGGGUGACAGCCCCGUACACAAAAAUGCACAUAUUGUGAGCUCGAUGAGUAGGGCGGGACACGUGGUAUCCUGUCUGAAUAUGGGGGGACCAUCCUCCAAGGCUAAAUACUCCUGACUGACCGAUAGUGAACCAGUACCGUGAGGGAAAGGCGAAAAGAACCCCGGCGAGGGGAGUGAAAAAGAACCUGAAACCGUGUACGUACAAGCAGUGGGAGCCUCUUUAUGGGGUGACUGCGUACCUUUUGUAUAAUGGGUCAGCGACUUAUAUUCUGUAGCAAGGUUAACCGAAUAGGGGAGCCGAAGGGAAACCGAGUCUUAACUGGGCGUUAAGUUGCAGGGUAUAGACCCGAAACCCGGUGAUCUAGCCAUGGGCAGGUUGAAGGUUGGGUAACACUAACUGGAGGACCGAACCGACUAAUGUUGAAAAAUUAGCGGAUGACUUGUGGCUGGGGGUGAAAGGCCAAUCAAACCGGGAGAUAGCUGGUUCUCCCCGAAAGCUAUUUAGGUAGCGCCUCGUGAAUUCAUCUCCGGGGGUAGAGCACUGUUUCGGCAAGGGGGUCAUCCCGACUUACCAACCCGAUGCAAACUGCGAAUACCGGAGAAUGUUAUCACGGGAGACACACGGCGGGUGCUAACGUCCGUCGUGAAGAGGGAAACAACCCAGACCGCCAGCUAAGGUCCCAAAGUCAUGGUUAAGUGGGAAACGAUGUGGGAAGGCCCAGACAGCCAGGAUGUUGGCUUAGAAGCAGCCAUCAUUUAAAGAAAGCGUAAUAGCUCACUGGUCGAGUCGGCCUGCGCGGAAGAUGUAACGGGGCUAAACCAUGCACCGAAGCUGCGGCAGCGACACUAUGUGUUGUUGGGUAGGGGAGCGUUCUGUAAGCCUGUGAAGGUGGCCUGUGAGGGUUGCUGGAGGUAUCAGAAGUGCGAAUGCUGACAUAAGUAACGAUAAAGCGGGUGAAAAGCCCGCUCGCCGGAAGACCAAGGGUUCCUGUCCAACGUUAAUCGGGGCAGGGUGAGUCGACCCCUAAGGCGAGGCCGAAAGGCGUAGUCGAUGGGAAACAGGUUAAUAUUCCUGUACUUGGUGUUACUGCGAAGGGGGGACGGAGAAGGCUAUGUUGGCCGGGCGACGGUUGUCCCGGUUUAAGCGUGUAGGCUGGUUUUCCAGGCAAAUCCGGAAAACCAAGGCUGAGGCGUGAUGACGAGGCACUACGGUGCUGAAGCGACAAAUGCCCUGCUUCCAGGAAAAGCCUCUAAGCAUCAGGUAACAUCAAAUCGUACCCCAAACCGACACAGGUGGUCAGGUAGAGAAUACCAAGGCGCUUGAGAGAACUCGGGUGAAGGAACUAGGCAAAAUGGUGCCGUAACUUCGGGAGAAGGCACGCUGAUAUGUAGGUGAAGCGACUUGCUCGUGGAGCUGAAAUCAGUCGAAGAUACCAGCUGGCUGCAACUGUUUAUUAAAAACACAGCACUGUGCAAACACGAAAGUGGACGUAUACGGUGUGACGCCUGCCCGGUGCCGGAAGGUUAAUUGAUGGGGUUAGCGGUAACGCGAAGCUCUUGAUCGAAGCCCCGGUAAACGGCGGCCGUAACUAUAACGGUCCUAAGGUAGCGAAAUUCCUUGUCGGGUAAGUUCCGACCUGCACGAAUGGCGUAAUGAUGGCCAGGCUGUCUCCACCCGAGACUCAGUGAAAUUGAACUCGCUGUGAAGAUGCAGUGUACCCGCGGCAAGACGGAAAGACCCCGUGAACCUUUACUAUAGCUUGACACUGAACAUUGAGCCUUGAUGUGUAGGAUAGGUGGGAGGCUUUGAAGUGUGGACGCCAGUCUGCAUGGAGCCGACCUUGAAAUACCACCCUUUAAUGUUUGAUGUUCUAACGUUGGCCCGUAAUCCGGGUUGCGGACAGUGUCUGGUGGGUAGUUUGACUGGGGCGGUCUCCUCCUAAAGAGUAACGGAGGAGCACGAAGGUUGGCUAAUCCUGGUCGGACAUCAGGAGGUUAGUGCAAUGGCAUAAGCCAGCUUGACUGCGAGCGUGACGGCGCGAGCAGGUGCGAAAGCAGGUCAUAGUGAUCCGGUGGUUCUGAAUGGAAGGGCCAUCGCUCAACGGAUAAAAGGUACUCCGGGGAUAACAGGCUGAUACCGCCCAAGAGUUCAUAUCGACGGCGGUGUUUGGCACCUCGAUGUCGGCUCAUCACAUCCUGGGGCUGAAGUAGGUCCCAAGGGUAUGGCUGUUCGCCAUUUAAAGUGGUACGCGAGCUGGGUUUAGAACGUCGUGAGACAGUUCGGUCCCUAUCUGCCGUGGGCGCUGGAGAACUGAGGGGGGCUGCUCCUAGUACGAGAGGACCGGAGUGGACGCAUCACUGGUGUUCGGGUUGUCAUGCCAAUGGCACUGCCCGGUAGCUAAAUGCGGAAGAGAUAAGUGCUGAAAGCAUCUAAGCACGAAACUUGCCCCGAGAUGAGUUCUCCCUGAGACUUAGAGU